CCUACGGGCGGCUGCAGUGAGGAAUAUUGGUCAAUGGGCGCAAGCCUGAACCAGCCAUCCCGCGUGCAGGAAGAAGGCGCUAUGCGUUGUAAACUUCUUUUCCGGAGGAAUAAAAUCUCGUACGUGUACGGGACUGAAGGUACUCCGGGAAUAAGCAUCGGCUAACUCCGUGCCAGCAGCCGCGGUAAUACGGAGGAUGCAAGCGUUAUCCGGAUUUAUUGGGUUUAAAGGGUGCGUAGGCGGACUAAUAAGUCAGUGGUGAAAACCUUCAGCUUAACUGGAGACUUGCCAUUGAUACUGUCAGUCUUGAGUAUGGUUAAGGUAGGCGGAAUGUGUAAUGUAGCGGUGAAAUGCUUAGAUAUUACACAGAACACCGAUUGCGAAGGCAGCUUACUGAGCCAUAACUGACGCUGAUGCACGAAAGCGUGGGGAGCGAACAGGAUUAGAUACCCCUGUAGUC
RNAcentral lists this ribosomal RNA (460 nucleotides) under uncultured Bacteroidota bacterium. Its description in RNAcentral is "bacterial SSU rRNA". It matches the Rfam family "Bacterial small subunit ribosomal RNA", at positions 338 to 795 of the family's 1533-position model. Lineage: Bacteria; Pseudomonadati; Bacteroidota. The record is from RNAcentral.